CUCAACGAUGCCUAAUAAAAAUGCAUAAAGUGAAAGAAGAGCUAGCAACGUCCAGGUACACCACAAAACCCAGCCGAUUAUUUGCGUAAUGAUACGACGACGUACUAUGGAUGGCACGUUUCUACUUGGCAUAUUCUUUUUCCUAAAGAAAGAAAGAGAGAGAGAGAAAUUGCAAAGGAGCUCUGUUCUAUAAAUAACAUUUGAAGGCGCUCACGGUUAACGUAUGAGAAGUUUUUAGUUGGUUACUUGGACCCACAGUUGUAAAUGAACAAGUUUCGUAACACUUUUAAAACUAGAUAAUCAUCAAAUAUUAUGAUUGGGUAAAUAUAUUUACCCCAAUCGUUUGUAUUUCUUGUUUUU
Molecule: long non-coding RNA, 360 nt
Organism: Polistes dominula (European paper wasp)
Lineage: Eukaryota; Metazoa; Arthropoda; Insecta; Hymenoptera; Vespidae
Source: RefSeq, a predicted model, not a curated record